Canis lupus familiaris (dog) is the source of this 73-nucleotide non-coding RNA. The record is from Rfam. NCBI's taxonomy places the organism in Eukaryota, Metazoa, Chordata, Mammalia, Carnivora, Canidae.
ACCUAGCUGGCUCAGUUGGAAGAGCAUGUGACUAUUGAUCUCAGGGUUGUGAGUUCAAACCCCAUAUCUGGUG